RNAcentral lists this long non-coding RNA (395 nucleotides) under Cyanistes caeruleus (blue tit). RNAcentral describes it as "lncRNA (ENSCCEG00000008494.1)". The record is from RNAcentral. Lineage: Eukaryota; Metazoa; Chordata; Aves; Passeriformes; Paridae.
AUGGGCCACAGGAGGCCAGUGGGAAGCAGUCAGAAGGUUGCACAGCUUGUUGUCCCGGUGGUGUGGAGGACUCUGGAUCUGUCAGAAACUGAGUUCCUGUUUGGGGUACCAGCUCCUCACUUCUGGUUCCUCCUUUCCCUGGAACUGUCAAGGCACAGAAGAAGGGAGAAUUCUGAACAAAGCAGAUUUUAAAUAUAUUUGUCACGAAGUGCACAACCUCCAUCCUGAGGGUUGAACUCAGGUCUCAAGUUGUCCAUCAGAGCAAGGGAACCUUAUUAAGGACUCAAUCACAAGGACAAUUGAAAUCAAACAUUUGGUUAAAUGAGGACUAUUGAUAUUUUCUCUUUUCCUUUCCUAGUAAUAAAAAAAAGUAAGUAUAUAAAAAUACUUCUAUC